This 1270-nucleotide long non-coding RNA is filed under the name Homo sapiens (human). RNAcentral describes it as "non-protein coding lnc-LRFN5-6:3". Lineage: Eukaryota; Metazoa; Chordata; Mammalia; Primates; Hominidae. The record is from RNAcentral.
GCUCCCGCUUCUCCCACCACACUUCCCUGCAAGCUGAGAGAAGCGGCUCUGGCCUUGGGCAGCCCAGAAAGGGGCUCCCUCAGUGCAGCGGUGGGCUGAAGGGCUCCUCAAGUGCCGCCAAAGUGGGAGCCCAGGCAGAGGAGGCGCCCAGAGCGAGCGAGGGCUGUGAGGACUGCCAGCACGCUGUCACCUCUCAGAACUAUUUACUCAGAAUGAGUGAAGAGACAGUCUUGCUCUGUUGCCCAGGCCGGAGUGGAGUGGCACAGUCAUAAUUCCCUGUACCCUUGAAAUCCUGAGCUCAAGCCAUCUCCAUACCUUAGCCUCCCAAGUGGCUACUACAGGACUGACUGAUAGUAUUUUCCUUUGGAAGAUCCUUUUAUAUUCUGUCUCUAUGAAAGAAGUGUUUUCAAUGAAAUAAGAUAUUUAUUCCAAAUCAAUCCUGCACCAGAAGCUCCAUUUCUGCAUUCGCUUCCAGAAAACACAGCAGCCGUAUGUGAAUUUGGGAGUGGUCCCACGAACCGGUUAUGAGACGAGGUUUUGGAGCUGGAUCACACCUGACACAACUGGCAUUGAAAACCUUAUUACCAAGAGCCUCUGGCACAAGGCUGCUAUGAAGAAAUACCCAAGACUGGGUACUUUCUCAACUUUCAAAUUGAGCUGUUCAGAAUGUGUGAAACAAUUUUAAGAUGAAGUCAAAGAUACUUGAAGCAGAAGCUGUAUCUGAGGAAGCUGUAUAUAAACCCAAUUUAAAGCAAGUUUAACCUGCUGAUUGGGAAGAAUUUUUAUGAAAAGCUGUGUGCUUCCUGAUAAGAAAAAAGGCUUUCCUGUUUCGAUCAAACCAGAACCAGAUGAGAACUCAGCACAGGCACUGCAGCCACGGAGGUUUCCAGAUAGAAAAAUUGACACCCCUGAGAUCCCAUAACAUUUUGGGGACUCAUCUGGGAUCUGCGGAAGGGAAUCAUACCUUCCCUGUUUCAAAUAACAAGCAUCAAGCAUCGUGAUAAUGUGGACACUAAGGAGCAACAAUUUCUCUAAAGAUAAGAAUAAAGAUAGACUUUUAGACUACGAGAUGGGCCUGAAAAAAUAUCUGAUCAAGCUACUCAGUUUUACAGAUGAAGAAGGUGAAGCCUGGGAAAACCUAAAGAACCUAUAUAAGGUUCUCAGAUAGACACCAUGUUAUCUGCUUGAAUGAAGAAAAUUUGAAAUGUGCAGUUUGUGAUAUCACAUGUAAAAAAGAAAGAAAGUGAAUUCCUUUGAAAAGACUACCCAC